Molecule: ribosomal RNA, 305 nt
Filed under: uncultured bacterium
Lineage: Bacteria
Description: bacterial SSU rRNA
Rfam family: Bacterial small subunit ribosomal RNA
Source: RNAcentral
CGUAUCCUACGGGGGGCAGCAGUGGGGAAUAUUGCACAAUGGGGGAAACCCUGAUGCAGCGACGCCGCGUGAAGGAAGAAGUAUUUCGGUAUGUAAACUUCUAUCAGCAGGGAAGAAAAUGACGGUACCUGACUAAGAAGCCCCGGCUAACUACGUGCCAGCAGCCGCGGUAAUACGUAGGGGGCAAGCGUUAUCCGGAUUUACUGGGUGUAAAGGGAGCGUAGACGGAAUUGCAAGUCUGAUGUGAAAAUCCGGGGCCCAACCCCGGAAGUGCAUUGGAAACUGUAUUUCUAGAGUGUCGGAGA